AAUACGUUCCCGGACCUUGUACACACCGCCCGUCAAGCCAUGAAAGUCUGGGAGACCUGAAGAUCGUAACCGCAAGGAGCGAUUUAGGGUAAAACAGGUAAUUAGGGCUAAGUCGUAACAAGGUACCC
RNAcentral lists this ribosomal RNA (128 nucleotides) under uncultured bacterium. RNAcentral describes it as "partial 16S ribosomal RNA". It matches the Rfam family "Bacterial small subunit ribosomal RNA", at positions 1365 to 1501 of the family's 1533-position model. The record is from RNAcentral.